GACCUCCCAAUUCUUACCACAGGCUGUGUUCUUUACACUGACUGUAUAGAAAGAGGAGGUACAGUAAAUGCAACCUAUAUAACCUCAACCCAGGCCCUUUGCCUCAUCUGUAUUGUGAAUUGGGUACAAAAAU
Small nucleolar RNA from Suncus etruscus (white-toothed pygmy shrew), 133 nucleotides. RefSeq annotates it as small nucleolar RNA SNORA51. The record is from RefSeq and is a predicted model, not a curated record. Lineage: Eukaryota; Metazoa; Chordata; Mammalia; Eulipotyphla; Soricidae. The transcript has a single exon.